GACGAACGCUGGCGGCGUGGAUUAGGCAUGCAAGUCGGACGGUAGGGCUUUAUCGUAAGAUAGAGUUUGAGAGUGGCGAACGGGUGAGUAACACGUAGGAAUCUACCCUUAAGACGGGGACAACCCAGGGAAACUUGGGCUAAUACCGGAUGAGAGUGCGAGAGAUUGCAUUUAAAAGGAUGGCGAAAGUUGUCGCUUAGGGAUGAGCCUGCGGUCUAUUAGUUAGUUGGUGAGGUAAGAGCUCACCAAGGCGAUGAUAGAUAGGCGGCCUUAACGGGUGGUCGCCCACACUGGGAUUGAGAUACGGCCCAGACUCCUACGGGAGGCAGCAGUCGAGAAUAGUCUACAAUGGCCGGAAGACUGAUAGUGCGACGCCGCGUGAACGAUGAAAUCCCUUCGGGGUGUAAAAGUUCUUUUAAUAUGUGAGCAGUGCUUCUUAUAUUAACAGUAUGGGGAAGAGAUAUUAGCAUAUGAAUAAGCAACGGCUAAACUCCGUGCC
This 499-nucleotide ribosomal RNA is filed under the name uncultured bacterium. RNAcentral describes it as "bacterial SSU rRNA". It matches the Rfam family "Bacterial small subunit ribosomal RNA", at positions 28 to 509 of the family's 1533-position model. The record is from RNAcentral.